GAACGCACCUUGCACCCUUUGGUAUUCCGAAGGGUAUGCCUGUUUGAGUGUCAUUAAAUUCUCAACCAUACAAGUUUUUUCUUGUAAGGCUUGGAUGUGGAGGCUUUGCAGGUUCCUUAGUGAAUCUGCUCCUCUUAAAUGCAUUAGUGGGAACCGUUUGUAGGGGUUCAUUUAUGUAUUCACUUGAUGUGAUAGUUGUAUCAUCAUCGAUAUGUGAAUUACGGGAACUCUGAGGCUCUUGCUUCUAACAGUCUUGAACAAAGACAAUUUAAAUCUCAAUUUGACCUCAAAUCAGGUAGGACUACCCGCUGAACUUAAG
This 319-nucleotide unclassified non-coding RNA is filed under the name Mycena floridula. RNAcentral describes it as "sequence contains 5.8S rRNA gene". The stretch from base 1 to 53 matches the Rfam family "5.8S ribosomal RNA", at positions 102 to 154 of the family's 154-position model. Lineage: Eukaryota; Fungi; Basidiomycota; Agaricomycetes; Agaricales; Mycenaceae. The record is from RNAcentral.